This 34-nucleotide small RNA is filed under the name Bombyx mori (domestic silkworm). Its description in RNAcentral is "ovarian small RNA-14853". Lineage: Eukaryota; Metazoa; Arthropoda; Insecta; Lepidoptera; Bombycidae. The record is from RNAcentral.
CUGAAAUUACAUUGACCAUGGCCGGUCUUGAGCC